Molecule: long non-coding RNA, 1542 nt
Organism: Rhododendron vialii
Lineage: Eukaryota; Viridiplantae; Streptophyta; Magnoliopsida; Ericales; Ericaceae
Exons: 2
Source: RefSeq, a predicted model, not a curated record
CUCUCUCUCUCUCUCUCUCUCAAACACAUGUCUACCUCACCCAAAAUCCAAAGGACGGCCUCUCUCCUUCCCACCCUCGCCUUUUGGUUUCCACCUCUCUCUCCCCUUCUCCGUCUCCCUCUCGCCCGCAGCAGAUAACCGCUUCCCUAAUUUGUAGUCCAAAAGUGAAAGAAAGCCUUUGACCGAACUUUUAUCAUUCCUUUUUUUAAUUCCAGGUAUUCUCCCUCUGUCAAGUUUUUUUUUCUUUCUUUUAGUUAUUUUUUAUUCUAGGAAUUGUACCUUAGUAAUUUUUUUAGGCCUUCGGGAAUAGGGACUAUGAGAAUUGUAUAUUGCACUCAAGGUGUUUGUAAGAAUGUUUAAUCCAAGUUGCUCUCCUUUCUUUGCAUUGCAUUUAAAUUAUUUUGUCUUUGACAUAAUCUAUUGGGUUUGAUAAAUUGGGAGGCAUUGUAACGUGGGUUGGUCUUGCUAGGAAUUGAGAGGCUUCGUAGGGCGGGUUGGUUUUGUUGGGUUUAUAAACUCUAGGAUGGUUUUAUGUAUUCUAUCCCAUCAGCACCCAACAACCACCCUAAUCCGAGACUUGGACACCCGUUAUUUGUUGACAUCUAAAGUCUAGCUCAAAGGGAAAGAAAAGGCAACCUAUCCCAUGAGAAACGAGAAUGCACUGGUAUAACCCUUACAUUUUUUAAAAAACAAUGUUUAUAGUCUUUGAACCAUGUUUUUUUUUUUUUUUUACAUUUCUCAAUUGACUUUGGACGUGCAGAUUCAACCACUCCGAGACAUUCAACCACUCUGAGACAGAAAUAUCUGAAUUAUAAUCCGUGAUGAGCGGGACCACAAUGUCAUCCGUAUAUGCAUUUAGUACCCUUAAUACAUUUUAUGUAUUUCUUAACCGAAAAUGCCAAGAAAAGAAACAAUGGCUAGGAAAGGGAAGACAACACAUGUAGGCAAUGGAAGGAAAAAUUCAUGGGUAUCUUUUCGCUUUCUUUUGGUAGCUUUGUACAGUUGAGAAAAGACUAACGGGACUUGAAUACCAAAAUGUGGAGCAUCUUUAAACUACACCUUCAUCUUCUUUGUGUUUGUAAUUUUCAUACAAAGCGGGGCCUUUAAAUUCACAGCCCUAGAAGAAACUCUGUUUGAACCUAAUUUAAGAAAAAAUCUUCCUGUAUAAAUCAGUUUUGUUAGCUUGGGUGGUCAAUAGUUUUGGAAUUCAUUUUAGUUGUGUUCAAAACACAUUGCGCCGUGCCUUCAGGCACAGGCAAACCCUAGUAUAAAUAAAUUCAUGUGUGUAUAUAUGUACAUAUAUACAAAUUCUACGUAGCAUCGGCACUUUGCUGGAAGCAACGUACCGGUGUCCGACACGUAUCCGACUCUUAGGGCUUGUUCGGUUUGGAUUUUGAGGGAGGUUUUAAAGUGUAAUGAGCAAACCCUAAGAGAGAGAGAGAAAAUUUAUUGAAGACUAUGCGCAGGGGUUUUGAGUACCCCAAACGAACAAGCCCUUAAUCUCGUAAUGUCUUGAUUUUUUUCCAAUGUUUAGGGGUUGGA